Molecule: long non-coding RNA, 1476 nt
Filed under: Homo sapiens (human)
Lineage: Eukaryota; Metazoa; Chordata; Mammalia; Primates; Hominidae
Description: LHRI_LNC1257.1
Source: RNAcentral
AGAAAAUCGGCUGGGGGCUGGGGGGGUCUUCCUUGUAGCCCUAAGCCGCAGCUGCGGGAGAAGCUGCCCUGGCUAGCCGAGGCCCGGCCCAGCGUGCUUCUCCGCGGCCAGCCUGGGCCACCGGAGCCGAGGCCUUCCCUGUGUUCCUAGGCCGCUGGCUCCGGCCUCCGCUCCCUGGACGCCUCCCGACUGACAAAAUUCUCCGUCUUUGUUUUAAAACCAAAGGACAGGCCAACCUUGAGCCCGGCCGUCACCCCUGUCGCGCUUUUGUUGGCGCAGGCUCGGCCCCCUACACCGGGCUGGUGCAGCUCCCGCGAUCAGACGGUCUCUCUCAAUUCGGCGUUGAACCCGGUUCUUCCCAAAUUCUGGUAUUGCUGGCCGCUUGGACACGUUCUCCCCUUAUCCCUCCCCCAGCGGGGAAAGAAAAAGCCAGGAUCCUUUCCUUGGCGCGGCCACCCGAGCCACUCCACCCGUCGCGCCAACCGCCUUUCCAGGUGGGGACCAAAGCCCCCACUCUCCGCUGGCAUCUCAUUGAAGGGCACCCCCCCGAGGGAUUGCCAGCUUCUGCUGCCAGCUGAGAGGCCGUGUGGCUGGGCGUCUUAAGCGCCGGUUUCCGCAGGUCCCGUGUCUGGCGGGCGCGGCUAAAACCCGGAGAGGCUGUGCCCGGGAAAGCCACGUUCGCCGUCCCCUCGCUGCGACAGGCCCAGCCGCGAUACAGCGCCAAGUCUAGGUCGGGCCAACCCAGCCAGGAGCUGCCCGGACCUGCCUGAAAGACCAGGGACGCGGCGCCAGCGCCCCACACCCCACCGAGACCAGGGCGCAAGGCGGGCAGAAUUCGGACUGAUGCGCCAGGCCCAGCCCCGAUGGAUUCCAGCUCCUCUCGGCCCCGCCUCCGGCCCUGGCCUCUUCCUCCAGCCGGGGUCGGGUCCUCCACUCCACUGUUUGGCUGGGAAAGGACCGAGACGCGCUCAGUGCACAGGGGGCCGGCUGCGGCCAUAAAUCUCCGGGCGGGCCCUCCUUCCCGCUGCUCACGCCGGGGUGCUCCGGGCCGGUCUCGUGUCCCGGGCCACGCCGCGCACCCUGCUCACCCCAUCACGGCCUGGGGACCCGGAGACUGCGCAGGGAACCACGCCAGGAGCUUCUCCGUUCACCAAAGAGAGGGAACGGCCUCGUUCCUCGGUGUCAACACCAUCCAUCUCUGAGGGCGCUGGACCCUGAGGUGGCCCGAGCUUCACAGGAUCACCGCCUUGGGGUAGGGGCGCCCGGGCCUGGCAUUUCCUCCUAGGAAGGCUCGGUGAGACUGGGAUGGGCAUGCGGCUCUCCGCUCGAGCCCAACUCCGGUGCCACCUGCACCACGGAGGGGUGACCCCAGGGUCAGGGUCAGAGCGGCUUCUCAGAAUUCAGCUUGCCACCUCUCCGCGGACCCUGCCUUCAUCUCGUGCCUCCUCAGAGCCCUCUGCGGGCGCAUGAAGGGCC